Molecule: ribosomal RNA, 506 nt
Filed under: uncultured bacterium
Lineage: Bacteria
Description: partial 16S ribosomal RNA
Rfam family: Bacterial small subunit ribosomal RNA
Source: RNAcentral
AUUGAACGCUGGCGGCAUGCCUAACACAUGCAAGUCGAGCGGCAGCGGGAAGUAGCUUGCUACUUUGCCGGCGAGCGGCGGACGGGUGAGUAAUGUCUGGGAAACUGCCUGAUGGAGGGGGAUAACUACUGGAAACGGUAGCUAAUACCGCAUAACGUCGCAAGACCAAAGAGGGGGACCUUCGGGCCUCUUGCCAUCAGAUGUGCCCAGAUGGGAUUAGCUAGUAGGUGGGGUAAUGGCUCACCUAGGCGAUGAUCCCUAGCUGGUCUGAGAGGAUGACCAGCCACACUGGAACUGAGACACGGUCCAGACUCCUACGGGAGGCAGCAGUGGGGAAUAUUGCACAAUGGGCGCAAGCCUGAUGCAGCCAUGCCGCGUGUAUGAAGAAGGCCUUCGGGUUGUAAAGUACUUUCAGCGGGGAGGAAGGUGUUGAGGUUAAUAACCUCAGCAAUUGACGUUACCCGCAGAAGAAGCACCGGCUAACUCCGUGCCAGCAGCCGCAGUAA